UUCAAUUUUUGGACUUCGGCUGAACAGUUUCAGUAAACCAAGGUAACUAACUUCCAGUGCAGCCGCACUUCCCCCAUCACUGAGCCACCAAUGACGAGACUGUGUGGACAGCAGAGGAGGGCAAAGUAUCCUAGCGACAGCUCAAUCAAGGCCUGUCAGAAUCAGGUGAGAAAGCACGUGAUUUUAUGUUUGUUUUUUUCAUUUUCGUGGCGUUCUUUUGUUUAUUAGAAUGAAAUGAUCCAUGGAAGCUUCUUGCCAGGACAAAAUUAUGUCUUCACAAUGUUAUAAACUAUCAAACCUAGAAAAUAUAUUUUAUGGGCAAAAACCUGACCUCUAGCAUAUACCUAGUAGACUUUUCCACUAGCUAUGCUAGUAUUUGAUAAUGACACAAUACCAAAAUCUCAACAAGAUGAAAAAUAAAACUUUAUUGCUUCAUUCUGAAUAAACAUUAUUUUACAGGUGUGUCCUGGCACUUUUCAUUUUACAUAUAUUUAUAUGAAUAGCGACAGGGUGAUUGGGAUUUUGUCAGGGAGUGCAUUUGCAUCAAAAAUAUAUAUAUAUAUUUUUUUUAGGUUGGAAAAGAAGUUAAUGUCAAUAAAGUAAAAAACAAA
This is a long non-coding RNA of Amphiprion ocellaris (clown anemonefish), 611 nucleotides long. RefSeq lists it as uncharacterized. The transcript is spliced from 2 exons. The record is from RefSeq and is a predicted model, not a curated record. Lineage: Eukaryota; Metazoa; Chordata; Actinopteri; Pomacentridae.